This is a transfer RNA of Coniochaeta ligniaria NRRL 30616, 116 nucleotides long. It matches the Rfam family "tRNA". From Rfam's summary of the family: Transfer RNA (tRNA) molecules are approximately 80 nucleotides in length. Their secondary structure includes four short double-helical elements and three loops (D, anti-codon, and T loops). NCBI's taxonomy places the organism in Eukaryota, Fungi, Ascomycota, Sordariomycetes, Coniochaetales, Coniochaetaceae. The record is from Rfam.
GGUAGCAUGCCAGAGUGGUUAAUGGGUUAGCCUCGAACCGCUAUUGGCUUUGGAAAGCUAAUGGCUUCGGAAAGCUAAUGGCUUCGGCCGCACAGGUUCGAAUCCUGUUGCUAUCG